UGGGGAAUAUUGCACAAUGGGCGCAAGCCUGAUGCAGCCAUGCCGCGUGUAUGAAGAAGGCCUUCGGGUUGUAAAGUACUUUCAGCGGGGAGGAAGGGAGUAGAGUUAAUACCUUUGCUCAUUGACGUUACCCGCAGAAGAAGCACCGGCUAACUCCGUGCCAGCAGCCGCGGUAAUACGGAGGGUGCAAGCGUUAAUCGGAAUUACUGGGCGUAAAGCGCACGCAGGCGGUUUGUUAAGUCAGAUGUGAAAUCCCCGGGCUCAACCUGGGAACUGCAUCUGAUACUGGCAAGCUUGAGUCUCGUAGAGGGGGGUAGAAUUCCAGGUGUAGCGGUGAAAUGCGUAGAGAUCUGGAGGAAUACCGGUGGCGAAGGCGGCCCCCUGGACGAAGACUGACGCUCAGGUGCGAAAGCGUGGGGAGCAAACAGG
This 429-nucleotide ribosomal RNA is filed under the name Chloroflexota bacterium. RNAcentral describes it as "Chloroflexi bacterium partial 16S ribosomal RNA". It matches the Rfam family "Bacterial small subunit ribosomal RNA", at positions 355 to 776 of the family's 1533-position model. The record is from RNAcentral. Lineage: Bacteria; Bacillati; Chloroflexota.